Molecule: long non-coding RNA, 809 nt
Organism: Amphiprion ocellaris (clown anemonefish)
Lineage: Eukaryota; Metazoa; Chordata; Actinopteri; Pomacentridae
Exons: 2
Source: RefSeq, a predicted model, not a curated record
AGCAAAUCAGACUCAUCAGAUUCUGAAUUUUAAAAGCUGCUGAAUUUCUUACUUUGAAUUUUUUUUGCAUCAAAAUUACGUAUGUGAAUUUUUUAUGCCUGAAUUUAGCUCAUCAAAAUUCUAAAAACCAGUUAAAAAUUCAAUGUCUUCAAAAUUCACCAUCAAAAAAUUCAAUGUUCAAAAUUCGCCAUCAAAAAAUUCAAUGUUCAAAAUUCGCUGUCAAAAAAUUCGCUGUUCACAUCCGGGGGACUCAGGCGUAAACAAUCGAUCCUGGCCAAAAUCGAACCAACGCCCAGCCAAUCACGUGGCGGUCCUCCGGUCAUGUGACGCAGACGGUUCAUCUCACAAGACCGGGGUCAACCACGGCUACCAGCAUGAACGACGGCGCUUCACAACACCGUCUGAACUGACCAGUCUGUUGAAAUUCUGGACUGGAUGGGAGACUCUACCAAGAACUCUCUCCUCAGAAGUAGUGAAUGGCAGAUACCUGACAGCCUCCACCUGCUAUGAGACCUUACACAUCCCAGGACAUUACAAGGACCACACAUCAUUUAAGACUGACAUCCUGGCCUGUAUUUGCACUUGCCAGUCAAGAUAUGCUAGGUGUUGUUCUCUAGUUAGUUUUACUUGACUGACAAAACUAAGUGCACUUUUGGAUUCCCUCCCCUACCUGUUCUCCCAACUCACCUGACAGGUUAUCUGGCUCAAGUAUGCGUGUUUCUGCCAUACAUUUAAAGUAUCUGAAGUUAAGAAUAUUUCUGGUGAACAAUACAUGCAAUCACAGCAUUAAAGCAGGAGUUAAAAAUGAA